GCAGGGGUCGCCUAGCCUGGUCAAUGGCGCAGGCCUGAGGCGCCUGUGGCUUAGUGCCUUCGUGGGUUCAAAUCCCACCCCCUGCA
Molecule: transfer RNA, 86 nt
Filed under: Candidatus Methanomethylicus sp.
Lineage: Archaea; Thermoproteati; Thermoproteota; Methanosuratincolia; Candidatus Methanomethylicales; Candidatus Methanomethylicaceae
Also listed under: 2 other names
Description: tRNA-Leu
Rfam family: tRNA
About the family: Transfer RNA (tRNA) molecules are approximately 80 nucleotides in length. Their secondary structure includes four short double-helical elements and three loops (D, anti-codon, and T loops).
Source: RNAcentral